This 253-nucleotide ribosomal RNA is filed under the name uncultured bacterium. RNAcentral describes it as "partial 16S ribosomal RNA". It matches the Rfam family "Bacterial small subunit ribosomal RNA", at positions 524 to 776 of the family's 1533-position model. The record is from RNAcentral.
UACGGAGGGGGCUAGCGAUGUUCGGAAUUACUGGGCGUAAAGCGGGUGUAGGCGGAUCUCUAAGUCGGAGGUGAAAGCCCGGGGCUUAACCUCGGAAUGGCCUACGAUACUGGAGAUCUCGAGUUCAGGAGAGGUGAGUGGAAUUCCGAGUGUAGAGGUGAAAUUCGUAGAUAUUCGGGGGAACACCAGAGGCGAAGGCGGCUCACUGGACUGAUACUGACGCUGAAACCCGAAAGCGUGGGGAGCAAACAGG